CGCUUUGAAUGCGACCCCAGGAUGGGCGAGGCCACCCGCCGAGUUUAAGCAUA
This 53-nucleotide ribosomal RNA is filed under the name Dendrobium aphyllum. Its description in RNAcentral is "partial 26S ribosomal RNA". The record is from RNAcentral. Lineage: Eukaryota; Viridiplantae; Streptophyta; Magnoliopsida; Asparagales; Orchidaceae.